RNAcentral lists this long non-coding RNA (1420 nucleotides) under Homo sapiens (human). RNAcentral's name for it is "HSALNT0351313". Lineage: Eukaryota; Metazoa; Chordata; Mammalia; Primates; Hominidae. The record is from RNAcentral.
UGGUCUUACAGGCAGUAUAAGAAGCAUGGCACCAGCAACUGCUUGUGGUGAGGCCUCAGGAAGCUUACAAUCAUAGAGGAAGGCAAGAGGAGCUGGCUUGUCACAUGGCCACUCUUCUGUAGGGCUGCUGCAGUUUGCUGGGGGAUCACUCCAGGCCCUAGUUGCCUAGGUUUUCCCCUUACCUGGAUGUAUCACCAGUGAAGUCUGCAAAACAGCAAAGAUGGCAGCCUGCCCCUUCCUCUAGGAGCUCUGUCCCAGGAGUGGAAUGUGGAGGUUUGAGAAGCAUCUACAGUUUGAAGCACAAUAUCAGCAAUAUUAUCAGCAGAAAAACAUCAACAGGAUUGUGAGAUGAAGUAUUUGUCUGCAAUCUGUAAUGCCUCAAGCCUUGCUACUCUUUCAAGCGUAGCCCUUGGACUAGCAGCACUGAUGUUACCAGAAGUUUUGAGAAAUUCAGCAUCCCCAGUUCUACCUCAGACCUACCAUAUUAGAAUUUGCAUCUUUAAUAAGAUUCCCAGGUGAUUCACAUUAAAGCUCGACACGUACUGGCCUGGAGGGUUGUAGAAAAGAGGAGGAGGGGGUGAAUUUUUUGAGGGGAAGGAAUGCAGAAAGGGAGCAAGACCUAUGUAUUUUUCUCUCUGUUAGGAAACAUAAUCACUGGUGCACCAUACGUCCCUCCUUGAGUGACCUUGAUGACACAGUGCAGAAACAUCUGUCAUUUGUAGCCGGAUCUGUUUGCUAUUGUAAUUUUACAAACUGCCAAUAAGCCUCGAGGGCCUGGAACCAGAGCUGUCUUGAGAUGAAUGUGACCUAUGAGAAGCAGGCUUUUCCAGGUAGGAGAAAGACGAUAUUCCCCCUGGCAAAGGGAGCUCAUGCCUGUUUGAUUAUGAAGCAUAUACAUUAUGUCACUGGAAAUAAGGAGGGGUUAGUAGAAGCUCCAGAAAGGAGUCUCCAGCUAGGUAUGUUGAUUGGCUAGCAUUGAGCGGUAGCUUCAACUUACCUGGGACACAAAUGGCUUACGAGAUGGAACGUGAACUCUAUGGCCAAAAACAUUUGAUUUUCAUUAAAGGUGGCCACAGUGUGUUAACUUAAUAGAAAGUCGCCGGUGAUUGUUUUCCAAAGGACACACCUGGGGGUGGGAGUGGAGGACAUAAAUGUAAUAAUGUAUAGAUGGCCAAUUAUAAGAUGUUUUGAGUUGCUGACUGCCUAAAAACAUUCAUUCAAUCACAUUGGUUCAUAGAAUUACACAAAGAAUUAAAAGCCUGCUGCUCUGGGGGUGUCUCAGCUGGACAACCCACAAAAGCUAUGCCUGGCCAAUCAGAAUGUGAAAGGAGGAGGUGGCAGUGGCAGUGAUAGCAUUUCACUUCCUACUGUGGCAGGGUCCAUUCCUUUAGAUUUAGCUUUCAAAUAACAACCUCUCUGG